UACGUAGGGUGCAAGCGUUAAUCGGAAUUACUGGGCGUAAAGCGUGCGCAGGCGGCUUUGCAAGACAGAUGUGAAAUCCCCGGGCUCAACCUGGGAACUGCAUUUGUGACUGCAAGGCUAGAGUACGGCAGAGGGGGAUGGAAUUCCGCGUGUAGCAGUGAAAUGCGUAGAUAUGCGGAGGAACACCAAUGGCGAAGGCAAUCCCCUGGGCCUGUACUGACGCUCAUGCACGAAAGCGUGGGGAGCAAACAGG
This 253-nucleotide ribosomal RNA is filed under the name uncultured bacterium. Its description in RNAcentral is "partial 16S ribosomal RNA". It matches the Rfam family "Bacterial small subunit ribosomal RNA", at positions 524 to 776 of the family's 1533-position model. The record is from RNAcentral.